Molecule: unclassified non-coding RNA, 2897 nt
Filed under: Centruroides sculpturatus (bark scorpion)
Lineage: Eukaryota; Metazoa; Arthropoda; Arachnida; Scorpiones; Buthidae
Description: 1-phosphatidylinositol 4,5-bisphosphate phosphodiesterase-like, transcript variant X5
Source: RNAcentral
CUUUGAUUUAUUUGUUAUGUUGUAUAAAUGAAACGAAACGAUUAAAUUGAUACUAUUUUUACCUUUAGGACGGCCAGUCGUUGGAAUUAACGCAAGUGAACGAUAUCAGGCAAGGCGGAAUACCAAAGGAUCCUCGUCUGCUUUCGGAACUUCAAUGUCGUUUUAAAGGCAAUUUAGAAGAUAUAUCGUUAACAAUAUGUGCGGGAGCGGAUAUGGUUAACAUCAAUUACACUCACAUUGUGUGUCCGGAUGAAGAAAUAGCAAAGACAUGGAGGGAUGUUUUAAGGCGUAUCACAAAUAAUAACAAAGCCAAUAACAUUUGUCCAAUGACGUCGUUAAAGAAACAUUGGAUGAAGCUUUGUUACUCUGUGGAUCCAGACGGUAAAAUACCGGUGAGGAGGAUUUCGCAGACUUUCGCUUCUGGGAAAACGGAAAAAUUGGUUUACCAAUGUCUAGGUGAAAUAGGACUACCAAACGACAAGAACGAUGUUAUAGAACCUCGCGAUUUUACAUUCGAUAAAUUUUAUCAAAUAUAUCAUAAGCUAUGUCCUAGAAACGAUAUCGAAGAACUCUUUCAAUCUCUAACUCAGGGUAAAACGGAUACUUUGAGCAUGGAACAAUUCAUUACUUUUCUAAAUCAAAGACAACGAGAUCCAAGAUUGAACGAGAUUCUUUAUCCUCUUUACGAAGAGAAACGUGCCAAAGAAAUAAUCUUGAAUUACGAACAAAAUGAAGAAAAUUGCAAAGAUAGUAAAUUAAGUCACGACGGUUUAAUUCGCUAUUUAAUGUCGGACGAUAAUGCGCCAGUUCUGUUAGAUCACCUCGAUAUUUAUAUGGACAUGGACCAACCAUUAUCUCAUUAUUACAUUAAUUCCUCUCAUAAUACUUAUUUGAGUGGUAGACAGUUUGGUGGCAAAUCGUCGGUCGAAAUGUAUCGCCAAGUGUUAUUGGCUGGCUGCAGGUGCGUCGAAUUGGACUGUUGGGACGGUAAGGGAGAAGACGAGGAGCCUAUUAUAACGCACGGGAAGGCUAUGUGUACAGAUAUCAUAUUUAAAGAUGUUAUUUACGCUAUUCGCGAUUGUGCAUUUGUUACAUCCGACUAUCCAAUAAUAUUGUCUUUUGAGAAUCAUUGUAGUAAGAAGCAACAGUAUAAAUUAGCCAAAUACUGCGACGAUAUUUUAGGAGAUCUUCUCCUGAAAGAACCUCUUCCUACUCAUCCCCUGGAACCGGGAAUACCUCUUCCUAGUCCUAAUGAUCUCAAGAGAAAGAUCCUUAUCAAAAACAAAAGACUUCGUCCCGAAGUAGAAAAACAGGAGUUGGAAUUAUGGAAAAAAGGCCAACUUCAGAACGACGACGACGACGACGACGACGACGACACCACGACGUCAUCACCCAGUGUCGCCAUGUCGCCUUCUGAUGAAGUUCCCAACGAAUCGGAAAGAAAGGAAGCUUCUGCCGAACAGUUAGCCAUGGCUAAUUAUCAAUACACGGGUGCAACCAUCCACGUUCAUCCUUAUUUAUCUGCGAUGGUUAAUUACGCCCAACCCAUCAAGUUCCAGGGUUUCGAGGUAGCCGAAGAAAGAAACGUUUAUCAUCAUAUGUCUUCAUUUGCCGAAAACGCCGCUUUGGGUUACCUUAAAUCGCAAGCCAUCGAAUUUGUCAAUUACAACAAAAGACAAAUGAGCCGAAUAUAUCCGAAAGGAACUCGAGCAGAUUCUAGCAAUUUUCAGCCUCAGAUCUUUUGGAACGCUGGCUGUCAAAUGGUAGCUUUAAAUUUUCAAACUUCCGACUUACCUAUGCAAUUAAAUCAAGGGAAAUUUGAAUAUAACGGAGCUUGCGGUUAUUUGUUGAAGCCAGAUUUUAUGAGAAGACCAGACAAGACGUUCGAUCCUUUCGCCGAAUCGCCGGUGGACGGUGUUAUAGCGGCUCAGUGUUCGGUGCGCAUUAUAUCCGGGCAGUUUCUGUCGGAUAAGAAAGUAGGGACUUACGUGGAAGUGGACAUGUACGGAUUACCCACCGACACGAUAAGAAAAGAAUUCCGAACUCGAAUGAUACCUUCCAACGGAUUAAAUCCUGUUUACAACGACGAACCUUUUGUUUUUCGUAAGAUCGUUUUGCCCGAUUUAGCUGUGAUUCGUUUGGCCGUUUACGACGAAAACGGCAAACUCUUGGGGCAGCGAAUACUUCCCAUGGACGGUCUGCAGACGGGUUAUCGUCACAUCGCUCUGAGGACCGAAGGAAACUUUCCCAUGUCGCUAGCCAUGCUCUUCAUUUGCAUCGAACUGAAAAUCUACGUACCCGACGGAUUAGGAGAUCUGAUGGACGCACUAUCGGACCCGAGGGCGUUUCUAUCGGCCCAAGAGAAGAGGAUCGCUCAGAUGAAGGCGAUGGGAAUCGAAGAAUCGGACAUAAUGACCAAAGAAGUGAAGACCGACGACAGGUCCUUCAGCGCCAAGAAGGAAGAAGAGAAAAAAGACGAGUUCGUAAUGGAUUCGAUAACGCUGGACGGACUGAAGUACGAGAAACCCUACGUGAAGAUGGUGAAGAAACACCAGAAGGAGGUGGAAAGUCUGAGGAGGCGUCACAACAAGGAAAAGACGGCCAUUCAGAAAAGACAGUGUUCGGCCAUCGACAAGCUAGUCAAGGGAUGCAAAAAGGACGAUCUGGUAAACGAUCCGCGCAUUCGAGAGUUGGUCGUAGAACAGAUCAGACAAUGGUCGGAACUGUUAGAGAGACAGAGAAAGGAAGAGUGGGAAGUGUUGAAGAACCAAACCUCUCAACAAGAGAGAACAAAGACAUGAAGACCAAACAGGCCAAAAUAUCCGUGGAGACCGCCAAAGAGGUGGCCAACGACCGAACUCUCCGCAACAAAGCCGAAAAAGAAAGGCGACUGAGGG